GUGGGCCAGUACUUGGGCUUGAGGGGCCCAUCCGAUAACCUUUCCGAUCCCCGCCGUCCGAUCCAAGAAGCCCGCGGGCAAAAUUGAGGGAAAAUCGGAUGGAGCAUAAUCAGAGGGCAGAAUCGUGAAAGCAGAACCCUUGGGUGGAGGUUUCCGCAGGGACCACAGAAAGCGGGCCCCACUGUUUUCAAGAGCACGUGCGAUCUCCCUCACCUGAUCCUCAUCAAAAGAACCCAUGCUCCCGAAGCACAGGAACACAACAGAGGAAGGAGGUUGCUGGUCAAGCCAAUCGAAGAUGUGAGCGUUGUCAGCAUGACCAUUGGGCUUUGGGUUCAGAAUGGGCCCCACUGGAUAAAUGGGCUGAGGCCCGUUAAGGAGGGAGUGGGCCGCAUGGGACUCUAGCUCCUCGAAUGAGUUUACUAUGAUACCACGGGCUUUCUUCAGGCCCCUCGCGAAGGCCAAGAACACUGGCUCCCACUCCUUGCUCAGCGCCAUGUAAGGCAAAUUCGGCUUUGGGAGGGGUUUGGCGAAACUAGGGGUGACGAACUCGGCGUCGGAGACCGUGAACUCGGCGUUCUCCUCUUCCUUGAGGGUGUGAAGAUGAAGCGUCAAACCGAGGAAAGCAAGACCAGAAGUGAAGAACACGAGGGAAGGGACGUGGAAUUCGUCGGCGACGUCGAUCAUGGUGGUGCAGAACAUGUCGAGGACGAAGGCGGCGAGUGGCGGUGUGGGGGGGAGGUUGGCGACGGCUUCUUUGACGUGCGGCUUUUGCAGUUGGAGUAUUUCUCUCAUUGGGAUUGGUUGGGAGUUGGAGGAAACUUGGGGGAGGUUGAUGAGCUGAAGACGGUGUGAGUGAAGGGAAUCGGUGUUAGCAGGUGUGGUGUGAGGUGGUUGUUUGAUUACCAAGACGGUGAUCCAGAUAUGGUGGUGGCGCUCCACCAGAAGCUUCGCGAACUCAAUGGUGGAGAGGAGAUGACCCGUGCCCGGAGAAGGGAUGAAGACGAGACGUGCAACUUUGUUCAUCUUUGUUACUCACUGGUGUGUGUGGAAUUUUUGAAAUGGAAGUGAUUAGAAGGAUAAGGGGAAAUGUUAUGGGAAGAAACGUAAGGCCACAUUAUUGUAUGAUAUCUACAUCUGUGGCUAUGAAUUUCUCACCCAUUGGUCUUUGGAGUGCAUGAGAUAAACUUUUUCUCAUGCCAUUCCAAUAAUUCCUUUUCUACUUUCAAAUAUCAUCUUUUUUAAAUCACAAAUUAUAUGAAAGAAUAAUUGCACUUGAUGGAAUAUCCUCACAACAAAGACUUGUGAUAUUGGAUCUCACAAAACACUUUAUCGGACUUGGGAAUCUUUGCUUAGUCAAAAGUAUAUGCAUUCUGUUACGUAACUUUCCUAUGAUUAAUAGUUUAACACAGGAGACACAAUUUUGAGGAUUUUGAAACGCAACUGGUUUCAAUGUCGGAUAAUAAUCUUUCAAUAAAUAAAUAACUAAAUAGGAGAGAUUAACUGUAAAAAGGAAUAAAAAAUAAAAGUUUUCUCAAAUAUAUAUAUAUAUAUAUAUAUAUAUAUAUAUAUAUAUUUCAAAGUAUUCAUGAAGCUUACACAUUACUUGUCCUUCAAAGGUGGGAGGUUAUUCUUGCAUCUUUAUAACCUUUAAUACUUUAGGUGAAAAGUCUAUUUUAUAAUGAAAUAGAAAAGACUCCUAAGUCACUGCGUUCCAUAAGUUUUUCUUUUCUUUGGAAUUCCACAGUUGAAAAUAUAAUUCACAUUUCAGGAAUGUACUUUAUAAACUUUUUAAUUAUAGAAUUUACAACUUUGUCGAAGCCCACAUAAUUCAAAAUAUAAUUCAAACAUAGUUCACAUUUUAGGAAUGUCUUUUAUAAAAUUUAGACAUGGUGGAUGUUGGUUACAUGCCAAGCUACAAUUCAAAUUUAAACAGGAUUUUGGAAUCUAGUGACUGAACUUAAUAAGUUAUGCUGAACUUUAUAAAAAUGAGGUGUGGGUUUGGUUUGAUUAUAACCAACGAUACCUGCAUAAGUUCAUCCACGACUAUAGCUGUUAUUGGUCAUUCUUUUGAAAAAAAUUUCAUUGAUGAACAACACUUUCAAUUCAUGCAUAGUACGGUUGUGCAGCUGAAUAGUGACACAAGUUUGACUAUACUUUGUACUCCUGAUUCAAGAAACGGUGUGAUUUUUACUUCAAUAGAGGUAUAGUUCUUCAACUCAAGCCAUAUGCCAAACGAAAACGAAGUGUUUUGUAUGAUAAUGGAGAUGCUAUUUCAUGAACAUGUUUACGAGGUUCAUGAUGUAUGUUCUUAAUAAGAGCGUUUGUCUCUCGAGUUAGGAAGAAAGUGAAGAUGAAUUAUGACUUAAGAUAAGAUCAUUGAGGUUGUCAAAGAUAAUAAAGGGAGAUUUUACUAUAUAAAAUCAUUUGACGGUCAAGUUAGUAAAAAUAUAUGGAUUAUAUGAAGGAAUAUAAGAGAUUCACCUGUACAAGAUUCUUCGAUGCUAUAGUCCGUAAAAGUUUUAUUUUGAUGAUUGUUUGAUUUUGCAUAACAAUUAUGUGUAACUUUGAUAUGAUGACCAUUUGAUCUCACAUAAUGAUUAUGUAUAGUUUUAUUCCGAUAGUUGUUUGAUCUCGAAUAACAAUCUUGUAUACUUUUAAUUUGAUGAUUGUUUGAUAUCAUAUAGUUAUUAUGUAUAGUUUUUUUUCAAUGACUGUUUGAUCUUGGUAAACAAUUGUUCUAAUGAUCGUUUGAUCUUGGUUAGAAAUUUUGUUCCAAUGAUCAUUUGAUCUUAGAAAGGGACUACGCAUAACCUUUUUUUUCAAUAAUCGAUUAGUCUUGAAUAGUAAUUGUUCUCACGAUAGUUUGUUCUCAACACUCUUGAUGAUCUUUUUUAUCAACGGUGAGUGUUCUUUCUAUGAUUGUUUGGCCUUUGAUAGUAAUUAUUCUAAUGAUAGUUUGAUUAGAAAAACAUUUUUUGAGGUUGAGACACAUCUCAUGCUUCCCAACAUUGGCAGAAACUCUCCAAAUAUAUAGUCUUGAAAUAUUUGGUUGGCUUGAAAAAAAACAUGUUUUAAGUGAUAUUUGCACAUGUAUUUUUAUUUUACUUUAAUUAUUUUAAGAAAUAAAAAAAAAGCAUAAGUUUUGGUUUUACCAUCGAAGAAACAUGAAUGAAUUUUUACAAAGGAAACAAUUGAAGUAUGUAUAUACUUUAUUAUAUGGAUUUAGAUACAAAGAUACGUAUAAUUUAUCUUGUAUAGUUUUAAUCUGAUGAUCGUUUGAUAUCAAAUAGUUAUUAUGAAUAGCUUUUUUUUCAAUGAUCGUUUGAUUUUGGUAAACAAUUGUUCUAAUGAUCGCUUGAUCUUAGUUAGAAAUUUUGUUACAAUGAUAAUUUGAUCUGAGACCGGGACUAUGCAUAACCUUUUUUUUCAAUAAUAAUUGAUCUCAUGAUAGUUUGUUCUCAACACUCUUGAUGAUCUUUUGAACCACAUUAUCUUAAGCAUGAAGUAUGCAUAUAUUUUAUUAUACGGAUUUAGAUAGAAAGAUAUGUAUAAUUUUUAAAAUUUAAAAUGUAAAAUAUGAAAAUACACAAUUUUUGUUAUUUUUUAUAACAGAAAGAUGUUUAUAACGACAAAUUAAAAAAAAUUAUUUCUUAUUUUUGUAACCAUAAUAAAAAAAUGUUAAAAUUAUUAAAAUAAACAAAUAUUUUUUAAAUUAAUAUAUUAAUAUAUUAAUAGUAUAGUGUCCAAUAGUGUGUUACAAUAAUGAUACCUAAACCUGAUCCAUUAUAUAAUCAAUCAAACGUCCUAAAGAAGAGUGGGAAGAUCCACCUUCCAACAAAGUUUUCCUACUUUUUUCACUGAUUUCCAUUACUCUCUUCCUUCUCUCAUCAUCCAUCUCCACCACAUUUCGUAUCCCUUUUUCUAUGUUCUGGGCACUCAAAAGAGGGGCAGAACCAUCCUUGAACUCAACCCUGUAAUCCAACGAAAUCUCGCAAGCAAUCUCCACCUCAUGCACCAGUAAGAAUGCGUUACUCUGUUGGUCCGCGUAGAGCGGCCACGUGGCAAUGGGCACACCAAAAUAUACGCUCUCAAGGAUAGAAUUCCAACCGCAGUGGGAAACAAAGCCCACGAUGGCGGGGUGGGCCAGCACUUGGGCUUGAGGGGCCCAUCCGAUGACCUUUCCAAUCCCCGCCGUCCGAUCCAAGAAGCCCGCGGGCAAAAUUGAGGGGAAAUCGGAGGAAGCAUAAUCAGAGGGUGGCACCGAGAGAGAAGAACCCUUGGGUGGAGGUUUCCGCAGGGACCAUAGGAAGCGGGCCCCACUGUUUUCAAGAGCACGUGCGAUCUCCCUCACCUGAUCCUCACCAAAAGAACCCAUGCUCCCGAAGCACAGGAAUACAACAGAGGAAGGAGGUUGCUGGUCAAGCCAAUCCAAGAUGUGACCGUUGCGAGGAUUAACAUUGGGCUUUGUGUUCAGAAUGGGCCCCACUGGAUAAAUGGGCUGAGGCCCGUUAAGGAGGUAGUGGGCCGCAUGGGACUCUAGCUCCUCGAAUGAGUUUACUAUGAU
Molecule: long non-coding RNA, 4564 nt
Filed under: Phaseolus vulgaris (common bean)
Lineage: Eukaryota; Viridiplantae; Streptophyta; Magnoliopsida; Fabales; Fabaceae
Description: long non-coding RNA (PVUL_LNC001941)
Source: RNAcentral